AGCUCUGCAGACCUGUGUCGGCGCGGAACCCGGACUGAGACAUGCCUUUUGAACUUCUCAGAUAGAGGAACCCCAGUGAAGACUGAUCAGUUCUUACAAUUCUCAAAGCAUGGCCCAUAAAUAUGUGGGUUUGCAGUAUCACGGAUCAGUGACAUUUGAGGAUGUGGCCAUAGCCUUCUCCCAGCAGGAGUGGGAGAGUCUGGACUCUUCCCAGAGGGGCUUGUACAGAGAUGUGAUGUUGGAGAACUACAGGAACUUGGUGUCAAUGGCAGGACAUUCCCGUUCUAAACCACAUGUGAUCGCCUUAUUGGAACAAUGGAAAGAGCCUGAAGUGACAGUGAGGAAAGAUGGAAGAAGAUGGUGCACAGGUGAGUAAGAGCAUGGCAGGUAGGGAGGCCAUUGUUGCUGGAAACAGCCCAGCUGUCAGGGAGGAAGUGCAUCUCUGCAAUGUUUGGAGGUUUCCCUUCAAAGCCCUAGGGCCUGGGUGGAAAAAGGCUGAGACUUGGGUAAGAAAUAAAUAUCUCACCAGCCUCACAAAAGGAACUUCAUCUUUACUUAUUUUAAUACUCACUCACCUCUUGUUUCCCUCUCAUUUUAUUACGGACUUAAGUCACUUUCCCAGUGCAUUAUUCCAUCUGUGUAUUGAAUUUCACUUCUUUCACCUCCUCUUUUACAUUUGGAUUUAUUCAUAUAUUCUUAGACAGUAAUAGUUGAACAGAGACAGGAAAAAUGAGGGUUCAGGCCUUGUAAUUAUGUAAGACAUGCCAAGCAGAGGGAAUAGCAGAUGUGGAUGCUUUGGGUGGGAAUGAGUUUUGUGUGCUUCAGGAGCAGUAAGUAGGCUCAGGCAGAAUUAAUGGGAGGAGUAAGAAGAAAAAAGCUAGAGUGCUAGCAGGAAUUUGAAUUUGUUUGUUUUGUUUUGUUUUUGAGUGAGACAGUCUUCUUUUGUCACCUAGGCUGGCAUACAGUGGUGCAAUCAUAGCUCACUGCAGCCUCGAACUCCUGGGCUCAAGCCAUUUUCCUGCCUCAGCCUCCUGAGUAGCUGGGACUACAGGCACACACCACCACACCUGGCUAAUUUUUUUAAUCUUCAGUAGAGACAGUGUCUCACUAUGUGGCUCAGGCUGGUCUUGAACUCCUGGGCUCAAGUGAUCCUCCUGCCUUGGCCUCCCAAAGUACUGAGAUUACAGGUAUGAGCCAUCGUGCCUGGCCAGGAAUUUGGAUUAUUUUCUAAUGUAACUAGAAACUAUGACCUAAUUUACAUUUUUCCAAUUUUUGAAUUUUAGAAAAUUCUAAUAAAUAGGAAACAGAUACCAGAAAAACCAUAUUAAAAUGUACAGCUUGAUGAGUUAUUAUGAGGCAGAUACCUUUGUAACCAUCACUCUGGUCAAAAGAUAAAACAUUUUUACGGGGGCUGGGGGACAACAAGAGGGCGAGCAUUAGGACAAAUACAUAAUGAACACAGGGCUUAAAACCUAGAUGACGGAUUGAUGGGUGCAGCAAACAACCGUGGCACAUGUAUACCUAUGUAACAGACCUGCACAUUCUACACACAUAUCCCAGAACUUAAAGUAAAAUAAAAAAUUUAAAAAACAGGCCGGGCGCGGUGGCUCACGCCUGUAAUCCCAGUACUUUGGGAGGCUGAGGUGGGUGGAUCAGGAGGUCAGGAGAUCGAGACCAUCCUGGCUAACAUGGUAAAACCCCGUCUCUACU
This 1710-nucleotide long non-coding RNA is filed under the name Homo sapiens (human). RNAcentral's name for it is "long non-coding RNA NONHSAT179677.1". Lineage: Eukaryota; Metazoa; Chordata; Mammalia; Primates; Hominidae. The record is from RNAcentral.